RNAcentral lists this ribosomal RNA (394 nucleotides) under uncultured bacterium. Its description in RNAcentral is "partial 16S ribosomal RNA". It matches the Rfam family "Bacterial small subunit ribosomal RNA", at positions 523 to 918 of the family's 1533-position model. The record is from RNAcentral.
AUACGUAGGGGACGAGCGUUGUCCGGAAUUACUGGGCGUAAAGGGCGCGUAGGCGGCGCUUCAAGUCGUCUGUCAAAUGGGAGGGCUUAACCCUUUUUCGCAGACGAAACUGGAGAGCUUGAGAAGCAGAGAGGCAAACAGAAUUCCUGGUGUAGCGGUGAAAUGCGUAGAUAUCAGGAAGAAUACCAGUGGCGAAGGCGGUUUGCUGGCUGCAUACUGACGCUGAAGCGCGAAAGCCAGGGGAGCAAACGGGAUUAGAUACCCCGGUAGUCCUGGCAGUAAACGAUGUAUGCUGGGUGUGAGACUAGCGAUAGUUUCGUGCCGAAGUUAACGCGAUAAGCAUACCGCCUGGGGAGUACGGUCGCAAGGUUGAAACUCAAAUGAAUUGACGGGG